This is a long non-coding RNA of Camelus dromedarius (Arabian camel), 1474 nucleotides long. RefSeq lists it as uncharacterized. NCBI's taxonomy places the organism in Eukaryota, Metazoa, Chordata, Mammalia, Artiodactyla, Camelidae. The record is from RefSeq and is a predicted model, not a curated record. The transcript has 3 exons.
GGCCACGUCCUCUGCUUCCUGAACUCCCAUUCUGGUGACCCCACCUGGGAUGCAGAGAUGAGGUGAGGCAGGGGCUUGUGCUGUCAACACCACUACUCUACCCUGGGAAUCUGACACACAGUAGGUGCUCGGUAAGUCAUUGUUGAAUGAACAGCAAUACUGGGCCAAGUUUCUGUGGGUGUCUGUGCCCCCAGAUCAGGGACCCCUCAGGGCCCACCUCACAAGUGACAUGAAAAUAAUAAUGCCACCAGGAGCAAUAACAGUUCCUCAGAAUAAGUGGGCUUUUCCAAGCACUCUCCACCUGUUGCAAAGGCCUCCCAGCAGGGAAGUGGGCUGUCAGGGGCAACACUGCACUCUCCACUGUAACAAGGAGAAAGCCAAGGGCCACAGAGAGGAGUGCCUUUCCAGUGUCACUGCUCACUUUCCCACCUUUUGGGAGACUGGGAGGCUUUUCUACUACAUUCUGGCUCUGAAGCCCCAAUACUGUUUGGACAUGCGUCCCUCCCUGGAGCAGGGAACCACUAAGUGACCUGUCACUUGUCACCAAGCAGACAGGCUCAUUUCAGCUCAUUGUGCCACCUGCAGGUUGUACUAGUAGCAGGAUCCUCUGGGAGACAUCACACUCUCCCAACCUGAAAACAGGUGAACAGCUCACAGGUUUCCUGGAGAGGAUGGUCACAUGGCCUUGAUCUGGCCAAUCAGCAUUUUCCAUCCUCCCUGGCCACUGUGAUUGGCUCAGGGCUGGGCACCAGCCCAAUCAGGCUCCACGGAGGUCAGGCCUAUUUACUGGAAUCCUGGGAGCAGAGAAGUUCUAUUUCAGUUGGGAGUUGAGGGGUGAUGAUGUCAGCCUGUGGCAGUUGGUGACUAUCUUGCUCUCAUAAAGGCAGAGCCAUGUGAAGAUGACACCAGUGGCAGAGCCCAGAGGUGGGGAAGGAUGACUUCUGCCGAUGUCACUGAGCACCAGGUACAGCCCUGCCUGAAGCUAUCUCCCUGUGGAUGUCUCAGUUAGGCUGUCUGCUGCAUGAGAAUGGAGACCUGCCUGCUUCACUACCUUCUAUGCCCGGUAUCUGGAGCCCGCCCAACACACAGUAGGACGUCAGCGAAUGUGUGACGGGUGUGUGAUCACUGUAGGCCACAGACAAAAGUCUUCCCAGCAGUGAUGAAACCCUGUGACAGAUCCUGUCCACAGCACCCUGCUCCUCCAAUCCUGACCCCAGGCUUUCCCAUGGUGUGUGACCCCGCAUGGGGUGCAGUCCCCUCCUCCAGUCUGGUGAGUAGAAACUACCUUUUCUUUUUUCUUUUGUUAAUAUAUUUAUUUUUUAAUUUUUAUUUUAUUGAGUUAUAGUCAGUUUGCAUUGUUGUGUCAAUUUCCAGCAUAGAGCAUAAUUUUGUCAAUUGUGUUUACUCUUUCAAGAAACCAUCUCUUGGCUUGAUUUUUUCAAAUGUUUCUAAUAUCUCUAUUUUAUUUAUUUCC